Orbicella faveolata is the source of this 722-nucleotide long non-coding RNA. NCBI's taxonomy places the organism in Eukaryota, Metazoa, Cnidaria, Anthozoa, Scleractinia, Merulinidae. The record is from RefSeq and is a predicted model, not a curated record.
AGCACCAUUGUUCAAAUCUGGAAGGAGGCGCUGGAAAUCCGGCAAUUUUUAGAAUUGAAGUGGGCCUUAUCAUCUAAUGUGCAGUUGGUUCCUAAAGAACUGUAAGCAGUACAAAAAGAUAUCCUGUUGUUUGGAAAUUGAUACUUCAAGUUUUAUCAAUAUGAUAAAAAGUUGGUUUCUAAAGUAUAGCGAAAAGGGAUUAAUUUGUGUUUUGUAAUGAACAGAUCAAGAAGAAAGUAUCCACUGAGAAACAUAUAACUUUUAUAUAAAACAGUCUAGUGCACUCUUAUUAACUACUGACUGGCAAAAUUGAGACUAUUGUUCUCUUAUGGAAUGGAAUGUAUACAAAUACAUAUGCAUGCACACAUGCAUAUACGUACGCUUUAUACAAGAGUAAGAAGUAGCUGUAUUUUUCCAUCCGUUAGUAUAUAUGUUAGUAUAUAUGAGUUAUUUUGCAUUUUUGAAAAAGCAACUUUAAAAACAAGUUAUAUUAAAUACUGUAAGUGACAUUUCUAACUUCAAUGGGGAUAUCCCAUAUGUGGAUUACUUCAAUUUUCAGCUACAUGUAUUUGUAAGCAUGUAUGCAAUACCUUGAAUAGAAAUAAUAAGCCUUCUCCAAGUAAUCAGCGGGCAUCCAACCUACCAACAUUUUAUAUCUGAAACACAAUUGAAAUGACAUAAUAAGGUUGUAAUAGCUGUAUUAAAUAACAGUUCAGAAGAAA